GUGGAUUAGAUACCCGGGUAGUCCACGCCGUAAACGAUGAGUGCUAGGUGUUGGGGGUAUUGACCCCCCCAGUACCGCAGCUAACGCGUUAAGCACUCCGCCUGGGGAGUACGGCCGCAAGGCUAAAACUCAAAGGAAUUGACGGGGGCCCGCACAAGCGGUGGAGUAUGUGGUUUAAUUCGACGCAACGCGCAAAACCUUACCUGGGUUAAAUCCACCCGAACCUGCCAGAAACGGUGGGGUGUCUUCGGAAGCGGGUGAGAAGGUGCUGCAUGGUCGUCGACAGCU
Molecule: ribosomal RNA, 288 nt
Filed under: uncultured bacterium
Lineage: Bacteria
Description: partial 16S ribosomal RNA
Rfam family: Bacterial small subunit ribosomal RNA
Source: RNAcentral